This 497-nucleotide ribosomal RNA is filed under the name uncultured bacterium. RNAcentral's name for it is "partial 16S ribosomal RNA". It matches the Rfam family "Bacterial small subunit ribosomal RNA", at positions 28 to 507 of the family's 1533-position model. The record is from RNAcentral.
GAUGAACGCUGGCGGCGUGCCUAAUACAUGCAAGUCGAGCGAACGGACGAGAAGCUUGCUUCUCUGAUGUUAGCGGCGGACGGGUGAGUAACACGUGGAUAACCUACCUAUAAGACUGGGAUAACUUCGGGAAACCGUAGCUAAUACCGGAUAAUAUUUUGAACCGCAUGGUUCAAAAGUGAAAGACGGUCUUGCUGUCACUUAUAGAUGGAUCCGCGCUGCAUUAGCUAGUUGGUAAGGUAACGGCUUACCAAGGCAACGAUGCAUAGCCGACCUGAGAGGGUGAUCGGCCACACUGGAACUGAGACACGGUCCAGACUCCUACGGGAGGCAGCAGUAGGGAAUCUUCCGCAAUGGGCGAAAGCCUGACGGAGCAACGCCGCGUGAGUGAUGAAUGUCUUCGGAUCGUAAAACUCUGUUAUUAGGGAAGAACAUAUGUGUAAGUAACUGUGCACAUCUUGACGGUACCUAAUCAGAAAGCCACGGCUAACUACGUG